Molecule: ribosomal RNA, 493 nt
Filed under: uncultured bacterium
Lineage: Bacteria
Description: partial 16S ribosomal RNA
Rfam family: Bacterial small subunit ribosomal RNA
Source: RNAcentral
ACGAACGCUGGCGGCGUGCUUAACACAUGCAAGUCGAACGGAAAGGCCUGCUUUCCCUUGUGGAUUGCGGGUGCUCGAGUGGCGAACGGGUGAGUAACACGUGAGUGAUCUGCCCCCAACUUGGGUAUAAGCCUGGGAAACUGGGUCUAAUUCCCGAUAGGACUGCAGGGUGGUGCCUGUGGUGGAAAACGAUUUUCUAGUGGUUGGGGAUGAGCUCGCGGCCUAUCAGCUUGUUGGUGGGGUAAUGGCCUACCAAGGCGGCGACGGGUAGCCGGCCUGAGAGGGUGGACGGCCACAUUGGGACUGAGAUGCGGCCCAGACUCCUACGGGAGGCAGCAGUGGGGAAUAUUGCACAAUGGGCGGAAGCCUGAUGCAGCGACGCCGCGUGGGGGAUGACGGCCUUCGGGUUGUAAACUCCUUUCGACCGCGAGGAAGCCACCUGGUUGGAAGGGUGGUGACGGUAGUGGUAGAAGAAGCACCGGCUAACUACGUG